CACGGAGCAGCAAGGUUACUUCAUGCACAGACUAGUUCACUAGGGCAAAGGUCAGGGACUCUGACUGGACUCGUUGUUAGGCGGAAUUCAGAGGCAUAAUAGCCAGGAAUAAUGGCGUUUAAGCGCCAUAAGGAGGAUUAUCUCACCAUGCAGGGCAUGCAAACUAACGGACGAAGUCGCAAAGGUGGAACGUUUGAUGAAACACAAAACUCAGGCAAACUCUGGCGAGAGGACCUUUGACUCUUGCUACAUCUACUGUCUUCCGGAUACAGGCGCGGCUAUCAAAAUAAAAGCCUCAAACAAG
This is a long non-coding RNA of Gambusia affinis (western mosquitofish), 304 nucleotides long. RefSeq lists it as uncharacterized. The transcript has 2 exons. NCBI's taxonomy places the organism in Eukaryota, Metazoa, Chordata, Actinopteri, Cyprinodontiformes, Poeciliidae. The record is from RefSeq and is a predicted model, not a curated record.